RNAcentral lists this long non-coding RNA (213 nucleotides) under Ananas comosus (pineapple). Its description in RNAcentral is "long non-coding RNA (ACOM_LNC034459)". Lineage: Eukaryota; Viridiplantae; Streptophyta; Magnoliopsida; Poales; Bromeliaceae. The record is from RNAcentral.
UAUAUAUAUAUAUAUAUAUAAUAUUGAGCUUCUAUAUUUUUUAAGAGUACCAAGUUGUUGGUGCUUCUAAGUUUUCAGCCUUUGAAUGAAAAUUUGUAGAGUUAGGAUAAUAGUGGUCCUUUACAAUUUGGUGGGUGGUUGAUGAAAUGGCAUGAUCUAAGAGUUGGAAUUGAUCAAGAGAAUAGAUCUAAUGGUGGAAAACCUGCAAGCACU